This 253-nucleotide ribosomal RNA is filed under the name uncultured bacterium. RNAcentral's name for it is "partial 16S ribosomal RNA". It matches the Rfam family "Bacterial small subunit ribosomal RNA", at positions 524 to 776 of the family's 1533-position model. The record is from RNAcentral.
UACAGAGGCCCCAAGCGUUACCCGGAAUUAUUGGGCGUAAAGGGUGCGUAGGCGGUCGUAUUAGUCUUUUGUUAAAGCCUUGGGCCUAACCCAAGAUCUGCAAAGGAAACGGUACGACUGGAGGAUGUGAGAGGUGUGCGGAACUCUAAGUGUAGGGGUGAAAUCCGUUGAUAUCUUGGGGAACACCAAAUGCGAAGGCAACUCACUGGCGCGUUCCUGACGCUGAGACACGAAAGCGUGGGUAGCGAAUGGG